GUAAGCAAAAAAACCACCCCUUCAACGAUUUUUCUGUGCAUAAAAACUGCUUGCUAGUGAUACAGGCUAGUUCCUUUGGGACUUUUCCGACACGGAUUCACGUUCCUUGACAAUAAAGUCAACGCUGAUAAACCCUAUUUAAGGAAAACCAACUUUUCUGAAUAACCUUACUCAUCUGGAAGCCGGCCAGGUCGAUGCCUCUGAAAUUCAGAGGGCAAUUUGAAGCGUUAUUACCCAACUGAUGCUUUGGGAUCCGCGGCUGGAAAUUCCCUCCGCUGUGCUGGCUCGGAGAAUGCCUGCGGGAUGCAGCCGGAGCCUCCUGAGCCGUGUUACGCAGGGAAAUGGUGGAGAAGCAACCCACAGGCA
This 366-nucleotide long non-coding RNA is filed under the name Anas platyrhynchos (mallard). Its description in RNAcentral is "lncRNA (ENSAPLG00020009448.1)". Lineage: Eukaryota; Metazoa; Chordata; Aves; Anseriformes; Anatidae. The record is from RNAcentral.